Molecule: ribosomal RNA, 387 nt
Filed under: uncultured bacterium
Lineage: Bacteria
Description: bacterial SSU rRNA
Rfam family: Bacterial small subunit ribosomal RNA
Source: RNAcentral
GAUGAACGCUAGCGGCAGGCCUAAUACAUGCAAGCUGAACGGCAAGUUGAAUAGCAAUAUUUGACCUAGAGUAGCGUAAGGGUGCGUAACACGUAUGCAAUCUGCCCGCAACAGGAGGAUAGCUUGAUGAAAGUUGAGAUAAGACUCCAUAAGAUCACAGGAGGGCAUCUGAUAGUGAUUAAACUACAAGGGGUUGCGGAUGAGCAUGCGCAUGAUUAGUUAGUUGGCGGGUAACGCCACAAGACAAUGAUCAUUAGGGGAACUGAGAGGUUGGUCCCCCACACUGGCACUGAGAUACGGGCCAGACUCCUACGGGAGGCAGCAGUAGGGAAUAUUGGGCAAUGGAGGCAACUCUGACCCACGCAUGCCGCGUGGGUGACGAAGGUC